Molecule: ribosomal RNA, 506 nt
Filed under: uncultured bacterium
Lineage: Bacteria
Description: partial 16S ribosomal RNA
Rfam family: Bacterial small subunit ribosomal RNA
Source: RNAcentral
GAUGAACGCUAGCUACAGGCUUAACACAUGCAAGUCGAGGGGUAACGAGAGGAAAGCUUGCUUUCCUUGUCGACGACCGGCGCACGGGUGAGUAACGCGUAUCCAACCUGCCCCCAACUAAGGAAUAACCUUGCGAAAGUAAGACUAAUACCUUAUAAUUUCCUCAGAUGUCAUCUGACGAGGAAUAAAGAUUUAUCGGUUGUGGAUGGGGAUGCGUCUGAUUAGCUUGUUGGCGGGGUAACGGCCCACCAAGGCAACGAUCAGUAGGGGUUUUUAGAGGAAGGUCCCCCACAUUGGAACUGAGACACGGUCCAAACUCCUACGGGAGGCAGCAGUGAGGAAUAUUGGUCAAUGGGCGGAAGCCUGAACCAGCCAAGUAGCGUGCAGGAUGACGGCCCUAUGGGUUGUAAACUGCUUUUAUACAGGAAUAAAGUUAGCCACGUGUGGUUAUUUGUAGGUACUGUAUGAAUAAGGACCGGCUAAUUCCGUGCCAGCCGCCGCCGUAA